CUACUGAGCGGAGAGGUUCCUAUAAGGUGUCAGGAUGUCACUGUCUAUUUCUCCAUGGAGGAGUGGGAGUAUUUAGAAGAACACAAGGAUCUGUACAAGGACGCCAUGAUGGAGAAUCACCAGCCCCUCACAUCACCGGUUGAGGAAGGUAACAGAACACU
Bufo bufo (common toad) is the source of this 161-nucleotide long non-coding RNA. RefSeq lists it as uncharacterized. The record is from RefSeq and is a predicted model, not a curated record. The transcript is spliced from 5 exons. NCBI's taxonomy places the organism in Eukaryota, Metazoa, Chordata, Amphibia, Anura, Bufonidae.